Long non-coding RNA from Mirounga angustirostris (Northern elephant seal), 541 nucleotides. RefSeq lists it as uncharacterized. The record is from RefSeq and is a predicted model, not a curated record. NCBI's taxonomy places the organism in Eukaryota, Metazoa, Chordata, Mammalia, Carnivora, Phocidae. The transcript is spliced from 5 exons.
UACAUGCUGGUACCAUAUGUUUCCAGGUUAAGAGAAAAUCUCACACCAAGUCUAAAUUCGGCCACAUCUCCAGAAGUCAUCUCAUUUCUUCCCUUUUGCCUCAGUCACCUUCCUUCCCUCAAUUGUCUAAGGAGCCUGCAUUUCAUCGCGGGAAAUGUAUGUGCAGACACAAUGAACACGGAAGUCUAGAAGAGGUCAUCAAACCAUGUCAUUUCACAGCCAUGGGAACUGAGGCCUAGAGAUACUUGAAAAAUGAAAAGAAAUCACAGCCAGAGCUUCUAGUCCUCAGUGAUUGAACUUAAAGAAGAUAGAUCAUCACUAGAAAUAGAGUGAAGCCUGUGGAUUCUCUGGUGUAUCCAAAGGACUCUGGUGUCGAAGGGCUAACUUGGAGUACAGGAAAUUACAGGUUGGAGGAGUGGCAUGAGAAGUGGAUAAAGUAAAUUUCCUGUGACUUUGGAUUUGAAACUGCACAAUGCAUGUCCUCCUAUGACUGCAGGAUGGUGGAAAGUGCUGGCUAAUAACACCGCCUUGCUCAUGUCAG